This 333-nucleotide long non-coding RNA is filed under the name Mytilus galloprovincialis (Mediterranean mussel). The record is from RNAcentral. Lineage: Eukaryota; Metazoa; Mollusca; Bivalvia; Mytilida; Mytilidae.
GGUUCUCUUUAUCAAAUAAUUCUUCUGUUAAACGUAAAUUUCGACAGAAAUUUGAAAUGUCAUCUUUAACCUCAUUAUAAUUUGAUGUUUGUGGAGUCGGGGUAAAUUUGAGUCCCUUUGAAAGUAUUUGAAUCUCUGGUGCUGAUAAUGUUAAGUUAGAGAGAUUAAUUAUUCUUGGUAUCUCACAUUUUGACGGUUCCACCGAGUGACGCGGUUUCUCUCGCCUGGUUCUAAAAAACGUUCUCUUGAAUUUCGGUUUCUUUGUUGUGGAUUCCUGUUAUUAUUUUGACUCUCUGUACUUUCGUCAUUUCUUUUAUAAUUACUAUUACUUUG